GGGGAUUUGGCUCAGUGGUAAAGCACUUGCCUAGCAAGCACAAGGCCCUGGGUUCGGUCCCCAGCUCCG
This 69-nucleotide transfer RNA is filed under the name Rattus norvegicus (Norway rat). It matches the Rfam family "tRNA". From Rfam's summary of the family: Transfer RNA (tRNA) molecules are approximately 80 nucleotides in length. Lineage: Eukaryota; Metazoa; Chordata; Mammalia; Rodentia; Muridae. The record is from Rfam by way of RNAcentral.